Molecule: transfer RNA, 76 nt
Filed under: bacterium
Lineage: Bacteria
Description: tRNA-Cys
Rfam family: tRNA
About the family: Transfer RNA (tRNA) molecules are approximately 80 nucleotides in length. Their secondary structure includes four short double-helical elements and three loops (D, anti-codon, and T loops).
Source: RNAcentral
GGCCAUGUAGACAAGUGGAAAGUCGGGAGUCUGCAAAACUCCUAUUGCGUCGGUUCGAUUCCGACCAUGGCCUCCA